Molecule: transfer RNA, 75 nt
Filed under: Streptomyces cellulosae
Lineage: Bacteria; Bacillati; Actinomycetota; Actinomycetes; Kitasatosporales; Streptomycetaceae
Also listed under: 2 other names
Description: tRNA-Arg
Source: RNAcentral
GCCGCAGCUCAGCACGCAGAUCACCCAGCCGCUCUCCUAAAGCGGGUGUCGCAGGUUCGAAUCCUGCCGGAGGCA